RNAcentral lists this ribosomal RNA (253 nucleotides) under uncultured Caldilinea sp. RNAcentral's name for it is "partial 16S ribosomal RNA". It matches the Rfam family "Bacterial small subunit ribosomal RNA", at positions 524 to 776 of the family's 1533-position model. Lineage: Bacteria; Bacillati; Chloroflexota; Caldilineae; Caldilineales; Caldilineaceae. The record is from RNAcentral.
UACGUAGGUGGCGAGCGUUAUCCGGAAUUACUGGGCGUAAAGGGCCCGCAGGCGGCUUCUUAAGUCUGACGUGAAAGCUCCUGGCUUAACUGGGAGAGGUCGUUGGAGACUGGGGGGCUUGAGGCGAUGAGAGGGGUGUGGAAUUCCCGGUGUAGUGGUGGAAUGCGUAGAUAUCGGGAGGAACACCAGUGGCGAAAGCGGCACCCUGGCAUCGGCCUGACGCUGAGGGGCGAAGGCGUGGGGAGCGAACGGG